AGUGAACGCUGGCGGUAGGCCUAACACAUGCAAGUCGAACGGCAGCACAGUAAGAGCUUGCUCUUACGGGUGGCGAGUGGCGGACGGGUGAGGAAUACAUCGGAAUCUACUUUUUCGUGGGGGAUAACGUAGGGAAACUUACGCUAAUACCGCAUACGACCUACGGGUGAAAGCAGGGGAUCUUCGGACCUUGCGCGAUUGAAUGAGCCGAUGUCGGAUUAGCUAGUUGGCGGGGUAAAGGCCCACCAAGGCGACGAUCCGUAGCUGGUCUGAGAGGAUGAUCAGCCACACUUGAACUGAGACACCGUCCAGACUCCUAAGGGAGGCAGCAGGGGGGAAUUUUGGACAAUGGGCGGAAGCCUGAUCCAGCCAUACCGCGUGGGUGAAGAAGGCCUUCGGGUUGGAAAGCCCUUUUGUUGGGAAAGAAAAGCAGCAGGUUAAUACCCCGCUGUUCUGACGGUACCCAAAGAAUAAGCACCGGCUAACUUCGUG
This 492-nucleotide ribosomal RNA is filed under the name uncultured bacterium. Its description in RNAcentral is "partial 16S ribosomal RNA". It matches the Rfam family "Bacterial small subunit ribosomal RNA", at positions 29 to 507 of the family's 1533-position model. The record is from RNAcentral.